GACGAGAUGGCCGAGCGGUCUAAGGCGCUACGUUAAGGAGUUCCUUACUAACAUCAUGAUUCAUGAUUCAUGAUUCCGUAGUCCUAAAGGGCGUGGGUUCGAAUCCCACUCUCGUCA
Immersiella caudata is the source of this 117-nucleotide non-coding RNA. Lineage: Eukaryota; Fungi; Ascomycota; Sordariomycetes; Sordariales; Lasiosphaeriaceae. The record is from the annotation of a GenBank genome assembly.